GACGAACCGUGCAAACGUUGUUCGGAAUCACUGGGCUUAAAGGGCGCGUAGGCGGACCACCAAGUCAGGGGUGAAAUCCUGCGGCUCAACCGUAGAAGUGCCUUUGAUACUGGUGGUCUCGAGGGAGGUAGGGGCGUGCGGAACUUCCGGUGGAGCGGUGAAAUGCGUAGAUAUCGGAAGGAACACCGGUGGCGAAAGCGGCGCGCUGGACCUCUACUGACGCUGAGGCGCGAAAGCCAGGGGAGCGAACGGG
RNAcentral lists this ribosomal RNA (253 nucleotides) under uncultured bacterium. Its description in RNAcentral is "partial 16S ribosomal RNA". It matches the Rfam family "Bacterial small subunit ribosomal RNA", at positions 524 to 776 of the family's 1533-position model. The record is from RNAcentral.